GGGUGAGUAACACGUGGGUGAUCUGCCUUGCACUUCGGGAUAAGCUUGGGAAACUGGGUCUAAUACCGGAUAGGACAGCUGUUUAGUGUCAGUUGUGGAAAGUUUUUCGGUGCAAGAUGAGCUCGCGGCCUAUCAGCUUGUUGGUGGGGUAAUGGCCUACCAAGGCGUCGACGGGUAGCCGGCCUGAGAGGGUGUACGGCCACAUUGGGACUGAGAUACGGCCCAG
RNAcentral lists this ribosomal RNA (226 nucleotides) under uncultured Actinomycetales bacterium. RNAcentral's name for it is "partial 16S ribosomal RNA". It matches the Rfam family "Bacterial small subunit ribosomal RNA", at positions 104 to 334 of the family's 1533-position model. The record is from RNAcentral. Lineage: Bacteria; Bacillati; Actinomycetota; Actinomycetes; Actinomycetales.